Molecule: ribosomal RNA, 462 nt
Filed under: uncultured bacterium
Lineage: Bacteria
Description: partial 16S ribosomal RNA
Rfam family: Bacterial small subunit ribosomal RNA
Source: RNAcentral
GACGAACGCUGGCGGCGUGCUUAACACAUGCAAGUCGAACGGUGAAGCCCUUCGGGGUGGAUCAGUGGCGAACGGGUGAGUAACACGUGAGCAACCUGCCCCUGGCUCUGGGACAACCACUGGAAACGGUGGCUAAUACCGGAUCCGACCCGCCUCGGCAUCGAGUGUGGGUGGAAAGUUUUUCGGCUGGGGAUGGGCUCGCGGCCUAUCAGCUUGUUGGUGAGGUGAAGGCUCACCAAGGCGACGACGGGUAGCCGGCCUGAGAGGGCGACCGGCCACACUGGGGCUGAGACACGGCCCAGACUCCUACGGGAGGCAGCAGUGGGGAAUAUUGCGCAAUGGGCGAAAGCCUGAUGCAGCGACGCCGCGUGAGGGAUGACGGCCUUCGGGUUGUAAACCUCUUUCAGCUCCGAAGAAGCGAAAGUGACGGUAGGAGCAGAAGAAGCACCGGCUAACUACGUG